This 327-nucleotide long non-coding RNA is filed under the name Selaginella moellendorffii. RNAcentral's name for it is "long non-coding RNA (SMOE_LNC000794)". Lineage: Eukaryota; Viridiplantae; Streptophyta; Lycopodiopsida; Selaginellales; Selaginellaceae. The record is from RNAcentral.
CGCUUUCUGUGUCUAGGUAGCUAUAGCAAGAAAUGCCGUCAAGAAAUGCCGUUUUGAUUUAACUUGCUACCGCACUGUGCCGUGGGGGCUCAAGGAAGGUGGUGACAUGCCUGAGAAAAAUACAAAGGUUUGUUCCACAGUAGCUCUCCAACCUUUGUUGUGUAAAUCUAAGCAGGCAUAUGGAGCGGCAGCGGCUUUUUUCAAUUCCAGUCUUCCAAGAAGGGUUGACAUCCUUGUCCCAAAUGCAACAUUGCCACAAGAACCAAAGAACCCAUGCAAAAUGCUAGAUGCCAUCACCGCUUUGCUUCAUGACGAAAUCAAGACCAG